RNAcentral lists this ribosomal RNA (253 nucleotides) under uncultured prokaryote. RNAcentral describes it as "partial 16S ribosomal RNA". It matches the Rfam family "Bacterial small subunit ribosomal RNA", at positions 525 to 777 of the family's 1533-position model. The record is from RNAcentral.
ACGGGGGGGGCAAGCGUUGUUCGGAAUUACUGGGCGUAAAGGGCGCGUAGGCGGUUCGCUAAGUUGAAUGUGAAAACUCUGGGCUUAACCCAGAGCCUGCAUCCAAAACUGGCGAACUGGAGUACUGGAGGGGAAAGCGGAAUUCCUGGUGUAGCGGUGAAAUGCGUAGAUAUCAGGAGGAAUACCGAUGGCGAAGGCAGGUCUCUGGGCUGACACUGACGCUCAUGCACGAAAGCGUGGGGAGCAAACAGGA